CCCGUCGAACGACACAUGAGGGCAGCAUUCAACAACAUAAACACGCGACUGUACGGCGCUGUCUUCCGAGUGGCCCAAACUGUACCUGUUGAUACCUUUGCCACUUUCUUAUUACUGUGUGUUUUUGGUCCAACGUAAUAACACCAAAAUGGAUGAGAAGCAGGGACCAAUUUCUGAUGAUGUCCCAACUGGGGAGGUAACGUCAACCACAGUUACAGAGGGUGAUGUUGUCAAGAUGCCAACAGAUGUGGCCAUCACUAUGGAUGCUAUUCCCAAUGAAGAUGAGGAGGACAAAUCCAAAGGUCUUGACCCACAAGAUAACCAUUGCGCCAGCACCUCUGACGUACCGAUGACUGGUGCUGCCAUGACGGAUCCUUAUCACUAUCUGACACAACAGCACUUCACCUCAGAGAUCUUCAAGAUUGAGAUCCAAAACCUCCCAAGAUAUUUUGGAUUUGCGGUUAAACAACAUGCUGACUCCACUGUGGAACCAGCCGUAUGAGGACCAGCUAUCCACCAAAUAGACCAACACCAGGGAGUUUCUGAGGAAUUUCCAAGAUGCUGCAACGGAACAUUGGGGAGAUGUCUCCCUGGCUGAAGCAACAAAUAUAACACUGUUGGUUUUUGGCUUGG
Molecule: unclassified non-coding RNA, 633 nt
Filed under: Patiria miniata (bat star)
Lineage: Eukaryota; Metazoa; Echinodermata; Asteroidea; Valvatida; Asterinidae
Description: uncharacterized LOC119743046, transcript variant X9
Source: RNAcentral